GGGAAACCCACUGUUCGUAAUGGAACAGUAUCUUUAUCUGAAUACAUAGGAUAUUGAAGGCAGACCCGGGGAACUGAAACAUCUAAGUACCCGGAGGAAGAGAAAGCAAAUGCGAUUUCCUGAGUAGCGGCGAGCGAAACGGAAUUAGCCCAAACCAAGAGGCUUGCCUCUUGGGGUUGUAGGACACUCUAUACGGAGUUACAAAGGAACGAAGUAAAUGAAGCGACCUGGAAAGGUCCGUCGAAGAAGGUAACAACCCUGUAGUUGAA
This 269-nucleotide ribosomal RNA is filed under the name Corethron hystrix. Its description in RNAcentral is "partial Bacterial large subunit ribosomal RNA". It matches the Rfam family "Bacterial large subunit ribosomal RNA", at positions 121 to 383 of the family's 2925-position model. The record is from RNAcentral. Lineage: Eukaryota; Bacillariophyta; Corethrophyceae; Corethrales; Corethraceae.